Molecule: ribosomal RNA, 638 nt
Filed under: uncultured bacterium
Lineage: Bacteria
Description: bacterial SSU rRNA
Rfam family: Bacterial small subunit ribosomal RNA (bases 1-542)
Source: RNAcentral
CCUACGGGAGGCAGCAGUGGGGAAUUUUGGACAAUGGGCGCAAGCCUGAUCCAGCAAUGCCGCGUGAGUGAAGAAGGCCUUCGGGUUGUAAAGCUCUUUUGUCAGGGAAGAAACGGUGGGGGCUAAUAUCUCCUACUAAUGACGGUACCUGAAGAAUAAGCACCGGCUAACUACGUGCCAGCAGCCGCGGUAAUACGUAGGGUGCAAGCGUUAAUCGGAAUUACUGGGCGUAAAGCGUGCGCAGGCGGUUCUGUAAGUCUGUCGUGAAAGCCCCGGGCUCAACCUGGGAAUUGCGAUGGAGACUGCAAGGCUUGAAUCUGGCAGAGGGGGGUAGAAUUCCACGUGUAGCAGUGAAAUGCGUAGAGAUGUGGAGGAACACCGAUGGCGAAGGCAGCCCCCUGGGUCAAGAUUGACGCUCAUGCACGAAAGCGUGGGGAGCAAACAGGAUUAGAUACCCUGGUAGUCCACGACCUAACGAUGUCUACUAGUUGUUCGGUUUAACGUUAACGUUAGUACGUCGAGCUACGCGUGAGUAGACCGCCGUCGGGUAGGUACGGUCGCGAGAAGUAAACGUAACAAGUAGAAGUUAGUACGGCGUGAGACGUACGCCGACGGACGACCGACGAGGGAGGUUAGGG